GUCGACAUAUGCAGAGCAACAAAAAGGGGGACGCUCUCAAAAACCCUAAAGCUCACAAAUCACCAAGAAUCAAAGAAGGAUUUCAACAAUAAUCAUUGUUGAAGCUAAUUUUCUGAUCAAUCACGUUAAGAGAUCCCAAGGUGUCGAAAUUUGAUGUUUGGUGAUGUUGCGACUCGAGCGAGAAGGCGGGUGAUAAAACCGGGAGCGAUACGCGGCUUAAAGGAAAGAUCUAAGGUAAUGUAGGCGAUACUCUGGACGACGAUCAAGCAACAUGUCAAAGAAUCGAACACAACACUUUUGAAGCUUCCGCGUUAAUAUAUUUUGUUUUAACUAAAUGUGAACAUGUAACUCUUGAUGUCACUUUUGUACGUUUUAAACUAGUAGGGAUGUUAAUCCUAAAUACUCUAAUCGUGUAUGAAUAUUAAGUUAAUAAUUUAUUUU
Molecule: long non-coding RNA, 441 nt
Filed under: Helianthus annuus (common sunflower)
Lineage: Eukaryota; Viridiplantae; Streptophyta; Magnoliopsida; Asterales; Asteraceae
Description: sRNA HanXRQr2_Chr09g0369921
Source: RNAcentral